Molecule: unclassified non-coding RNA, 218 nt
Filed under: Hevea brasiliensis (rubber tree)
Lineage: Eukaryota; Viridiplantae; Streptophyta; Magnoliopsida; Malpighiales; Euphorbiaceae
Source: RNAcentral
GUUUGUAUGGACAGGUGUUAUCUUCCCAUUUAGAGUAGUCAUGUUUUGUUUCCCCUUAUGUAUUCCUUUGUGCUGAACCUUCCACUUCAUUCUCCCUUGUUGCUGCGUCUCGAACUUGGACUUCCUGCCCUUCUUUUCCUCAUCCCACCCUUGUAUUCACAUUUGCAUCCUUCUUCUUCCGACAUUCCCCUUCAUUAUGCCCGUACUUUUUGCAGUGU